Molecule: ribosomal RNA, 492 nt
Filed under: Salmonella enterica subsp. enterica serovar Uganda
Lineage: Bacteria; Pseudomonadati; Pseudomonadota; Gammaproteobacteria; Enterobacterales; Enterobacteriaceae
Description: bacterial SSU rRNA
Rfam family: Bacterial small subunit ribosomal RNA
Source: RNAcentral
AAAUUGAAGAGUUUGAUCAUGGCUCAGAUUGAACGCUGGCGGCAGGCCUAACACAUGCAAGUCGAACGGUAACAGGAAGCAGCUUGCUGCUUCGCUGACGAGUGGCGGACGGGUGAGUAAUGUCUGGGAAACUGCCUGAUGGAGGGGGAUAACUACUGGAAACGGUGGCUAAUACCGCAUAACGUCGCAAGACCAAAGAGGGGGACCUUCGGGCCUCUUGCCAUCAGAUGUGCCCAGAUGGGAUUAGCUUGUUGGUGAGGUAAUGGCUCACCAAGGCGACGAUCCCUAGCUGGUCUGAGAGGAUGACCAGCCACACUGGAACUGAGACACGGUCCAGACUCCUACGGGAGGCAGCAGUGGGGAAUAUUGCACAAUGGGCGCAAGCCUGAUGCAGCCAUGCCGCGUGUAUGAAGAAGGCCUUCGGGUUGUAAAGUACUUUCAGCGGGGAGGAAGGUGUUGCGGUUAAUAACCGCAGCAAUUGACGUUACCCGC